This is an RNA transcript of Conger conger (European conger), 1512 nucleotides long. It is a transcript of the gene named PR domain-containing protein 11-like, with no coding region annotated. The transcript has 6 exons. NCBI's taxonomy places the organism in Eukaryota, Metazoa, Chordata, Actinopteri, Anguilliformes, Congridae. The record is from RefSeq and is a predicted model, not a curated record.
UACCUUCAAAUCACGAUAGAGGAAAAAAAAAUACUUAAAAGAAAAAACACUAUUUAUCUAGUAGUAAUAUCAUUUCAUUCUGCCAGAAACCUGUAUUGUAUCCGUGGAAUUAAAUUAUUCGCCUGUGUCUAAUUUACCAUUCGCAGCCAGAUGAAAAACAAUGAGUCUGUUGAGUCAGAGGAACCAAACAAUCAGAAACGUGAUCUAGAGCUUAGCAUUGCACGGAGCCACCCAAAAGUGGACUUAUGGUUCUGUGAAGAAUGUAAGGAGUACUACAUAGAGGAAUGCUCAACCCAUGGGCCCCCAGUCUUCAUGCCAGACACAUUUGUGGCCUUAGGGGUCCCCAACCGUGCUGCUCUCUCUGUCCCAUCUGGAAUAAAGAUAAUCCAGGAGGGAGGAAAAAUGGAUGUGUGCUGCAUGGAAAAAAACAUCCCAAAGGGGGCCCUGUUUGGGCCUUACCAAGGAGAGCUCGUCUCUCAGGACAAGUCCUCAGGGUUCUUCUCCUGGAUGGUAUGUGGGAAUUCAGCGGAGGAGAGUGAGCGGAACCUGACCGCCUUUCAGUACAGUGAAGACAUCUACUUCCAGGUGUGCCGGAACUUGGCAGUAGGCGAGAAGCUACGCGUGUGGUACAGUGAGGACUACAUGGGAAAGUUACACAGCAUGUCGCAAGACACCGCUAACAGAAACCUUCCCACAGGGGUGCUCAUAUGUUCUCAGUGUGGGAAGAACUACUGAUGGACACCACAUCUGACAAACUGCUCCCAGUGUGGAAAUAGCUUCAGCCAUUCAAGGCGAGUAAAGGCUUUCAGGACCCUAGGAGCCUCCAGGGUGCCCCUCUGAAGACGGCUGUGAUGCCAUGGGGGCAGGUCCCACCGGGCGCAUCACCAGCCCUUCCUCUGGCAUCUCGGCGAGGGAGGACUGGGUGAAGAUGGACGCGCGCAGGUCCAGGUUGACGGACAACAAGCCGGGCAGAAGCUGCCGCUGGUACUGGUCCAGACGGAGGAUGAGGUCCAACAUGGAGGAGCUGCUCCCGCUCAUCCAGCUGGGACUGGGCCGGGCGGGCAGGGACUGGGAGCGUCGCAGCUCCAGCUGGUACGACAGCCUGGUACACAGGACAGGACAGGGAUUAGGAACACUGGGCGACAUGGCUCAGGCAGUAAGAGCAGUCGUCUGGCAGUCGGAGGGUUGCCGGUUCGAUCCCCCAACUAGGCUGUGUCGAAGUGUCCCUGAGCAAGACAGCUAACCCCCGAAUGCUCCUGACGAGCUGGUCGGCGCCUUGCAUGGCAGCCAAUCACCGUCGGUGUGUGAGUGUGUGUAUGAAUGGGUGAAUGAGAAGCAUCAAAUGUACAGCGCUUUGGAUAAAGGAGCUAUAUAAAUGCCAACCAUUUACCAUUUACCAAGAUUCAUAACAUUAAAAUGGAGAAGAAUAAUUGCUGCAUUUUACAAUACAUGUAAACAAAUUGAGCAAAUCUGAAUUAUGGGCUGUAUACAAUUGUAUAAUUCUUUUUUUUA